UGCCAGCCGCCGCGGUAAGACAGGAGGAGCAAGUGUUAUUCAGAAUUACUGGGCGUAAAGCGCAUGUAGGCGGAACAGAAAGUUAGAAGUGAAAUCCCUGGGCUCAACCUAGGAAUUGCUUUUAAAACUUCUGUUCUGGAAUUCAGGAGAGGAAAAUGGAAUUUCCAGUGUAGAGGUGAAAUUCGUAGAUAUUGGAAGGAACACCAGUGGCGAAGGCGAUUUUCUGGACUGAUAUUGACGCUGAGAUGCGAAGGCAUGGGUAGCAAACGGGAUUAGAUA
RNAcentral lists this ribosomal RNA (279 nucleotides) under uncultured bacterium. RNAcentral's name for it is "partial 16S ribosomal RNA". It matches the Rfam family "Bacterial small subunit ribosomal RNA", at positions 506 to 784 of the family's 1533-position model. The record is from RNAcentral.